RNAcentral lists this ribosomal RNA (28 nucleotides) under Desmodesmus subspicatus var. simplex. RNAcentral describes it as "partial 26S ribosomal RNA". Lineage: Eukaryota; Viridiplantae; Chlorophyta; Chlorophyceae; Sphaeropleales; Scenedesmaceae. The record is from RNAcentral.
UGUAUUCGACCUGAGCUCAGGCAAGGCU